CAAAAGUGCUGCGUGGCCAUUGUUUCUGACAGUUCAUUUAUGCAGAUGAAACAAUCCAUUCAUUUGGUGAAUCCAUGGAAUUAAUGGCUUCCACUUUGUACUUUCUGAAAAAUAUACAGCGUUUCAGGCCUCUGGAUUUACAUUCUACAGAGUUUCUGGUAUAAUGGAAUAGUUUCAGGUCCCUGGAGGGCAGGUAUAUGGCUCUGCAAGAGUGUUGAUGGCUUUCCUAACACACAGGCGUGUGCAUUUCUAAAUGUUCUCACUUGGGGCAGAUUUUUAAACAGCCCUUUGACACAGUGUGGGAGAAAUGCUUCUCAGUGACCAUUUCUGAGGAAAGUUGCUUAGAGACUUGGGCCCUAGUGCUGAAAUGUGACCAAGUCAUCUUCUCCUUCAGGCAAGAGGCUUCUAAACUGAGAGAGCAGCAACAUUUCAGGACUUCUUGGGUGGAAGAAAGUUGGCAGAGAGAACGUCCACAACUGCCUCUCACAUUUCUCCAGGGAGAGGAUGUGUGAAAAGCAUGGGGGAAAAGAGCAGAACAUGCAGCCUGACCUUAUAGGAAGAGAAAAAUAACAACAUUCUGAAAGUUCAAACUGGGAAGACAACAGACUACAUUGCGUUGGUCCAACUCUUUACCUCUAGUCAUGGGAGUAGCUAAACCAACCACAGGUUGCUGACACUCAACUAAUCAGAUUAUAAGAGUUUGCUUCAGGUAUGCUGUCAAAUGUUCUUGAGGGUAUGUAUUCCUCCUCACGAUGGAUUCAGAGAGGUUUUGAUCCAGGAGGACCAUUAUUUAUUGUCUGAGUUAAAGGCAGGGAUGUUGGGCUAUAAAAAUCACACAUGGUAUGCACAAAGCGGCAAACUGCAAUGAUCUAAAAUAUCCCCUACUGUACUUAUUCAUUCUAUCUAAUAAACAUCCAGAAUUCCAGAUAAAU
Molecule: long non-coding RNA, 932 nt
Filed under: Homo sapiens (human)
Lineage: Eukaryota; Metazoa; Chordata; Mammalia; Primates; Hominidae
Description: HSALNT0244682
Source: RNAcentral